AUAUAUUUGUUGUAUGGAAAGACCAAUCCAACAAAAUAUUAGAAAUGAAAAAAGCCUUCUCAAACAAUUCUCUAGGUGUAAAUCUUAAUAUAGAUCAGGUCACUUCAACAUCCAUUCACUUCCUAGAUGUUCAACUAAAUUCUGUACUACUACAAUACAGUGCCAAAGUCUAUAGGAAACCAACUUAUGUUUCUACCAUCGUCCCAACCUGGUCAGCAGACCAUCAUAGUCACAAGCAUGCAGCAUUUAGAUCAUACUUUAGAUACAUUAUAAUGCAUUGUUCCAUGGUUCCAGGCUAAAAAAUAAUUUAACAAGAUC
RNAcentral lists this long non-coding RNA (318 nucleotides) under Androctonus crassicauda. The record is from RNAcentral. Lineage: Eukaryota; Metazoa; Arthropoda; Arachnida; Scorpiones; Buthidae.